Molecule: long non-coding RNA, 1134 nt
Organism: Hemibagrus wyckioides
Lineage: Eukaryota; Metazoa; Chordata; Actinopteri; Siluriformes; Bagridae
Exons: 4
Source: RefSeq, a predicted model, not a curated record
GCUGCAUCUCUGAGUCGAAGGAGUCGAGCGAGUCCACACACUCUCCGCUCCACACACGCACUCCAGGAUCAACACUACAGUGCAGGUCCAGGGCAGCCAUCAUGUGCUCUGUGUGUGUGUAUCAGACUAGGAGGAAGUCAGGUGCGAGGCUUCUCCCUCUAUAUUAGAGUUUAAUUCAGAGAAGCUCGUCUUCCCAUCGAGAUCAUUCUCAGCUUUUUUCCUUCACCCGGUUCUGUAGAGGUCAACGACCCCUGACGGAUGAGGACCUCUGACCUGCUUGGAAGCAAACGGAGUCCAGUGCUUUCCAAAAUACCAGUGAGUGCUGUUUCAUUUGGGGUGUGUGAGCUGCGGGAUCAGAAACCGGACACCGGAGUGUCUCCUGGGUGCCGGAUGGAGCUGCGUGUGAUGUCCUGUUCCAGGUUCCUCAGCAGUUCCUCGUUGAUCUCUCCACCUGAAGUGUAUUGCAGGUGUUUGCGCUCAGCUUUGCGUACACGAUACUGAAGGAUCCUGCAGUUUUUAUUGGCUCGCUCCAGCUCUCGCCGCAGCUCAUGCAACCGGCAGUUCCACUUCCCACCCUCCAGCCAGCUCUCUCCUUCCACACAACCGCUAUGAGCCCGAGGGGGUGAAGCCUAACACACACUUCCUCUGAGACACGUGAGGCCAGACAAUAAUCAAACUCUCACUCAAGCUGCAUCACAGAGUGGCGGAACAGAAAAAAGCUCCAUCUGCCCUGUUCCACAUAGAUGAGCUCACAGAUGCACAUGAUUAUCUAGUGUGGCUGUGAUUGACCAGAGAGAGAGUAAGCCCCUCCCACACCCAAUCCUGUGCUCGAGAUUGGCCAUGUCCUGAUCUGUUGUUGACUCUGUUCAUGCUGAAAUGUACUGCAGUGGAGUUGAUUUGUGUCACUAAAUAUUGUGUUGUGAAAAAGUUUGAAAAAUAAUUCAAUAAUAAUCAAAUAAUAAUUUGAAUAAUAAUUCAAUAUAUAUGAGCUUAUCAUGUGUAAUGUCGUGAGCUGGUACAGUGCACAAAUUCUUACAUCACACAAUUUUAUUCAAUUAGAAUUUAAAUAUACAGGGUGAACAAAAAAAUCAGGAAACUCUGAGCGUAUCAAGAAGCACUAUUUCUAAAAUUUCU